AUUGAACGCUGGCGGCAUGCCUUACACAUGCAAGUCGAACGGUAGCGCGGGGCAACCUGGCGACGAGUGGCGAACGGGUGAGUAAUGCAUCGGAACGUGCCCUGGAAUGGGGGAUAACGUAGCGAAAGUUACGCUAAUACCGCAUAUUCUGUGAGCAGGAAAGCAGGGGAUCGCAAGACCUUGCGUUCUGGGAGCGGCCGAUGUCGGAUUAGCUAGUUGGUGGGGUAAAGGCCUACCAAGGCGACGAUCCGUAGCGGGUCUGAGAGGAUGAUCCGCCACACUGGGACUGAGACACGGCCCAGACUCCUACGGGAGGCAGCAGUGGGGAAUUUUGGACAAUGGGCGGAAGCCUGAUCCAGCCAUGCCGCGUGAGUGAAGAAGGCCUUCGGGUUGUAAAGCUCUUUCGGUGGGGAAGAAAUUGCACGGGCUAAUAUCCUGUGUAGAUGACGGUACCCGACUAAGAAGCACCGGCUAACUACGUGCCGGCAGCCGCGGUAAUACGUAGGGUGCGAGCGUUAAUCGGAAUUACUGGGCGUAAAGCGUGCGCAGGCGGUUUGGUAAGUCAGAUGUGAAAGCCCCGGGCUCAACCUGGGAACUGCAUUUGAGACUGCCAGGCUGGAGUGUGGCAGAGGGGGGUGGAAUUCCACGUGUAGCAGUGAAAUGCGUAGAGAUGUGGAGGAACACCGAUGGCGAUGCAGCCCCUGGGUCACUACUGACGCUCAUGCAGAAAGCGUGGGGGAGCAACAGGAUAGAUACCCGGUAGUCCACGCCUAAACGAUGUCACUAGGUGUUGGAGGGUUAAACUUUUAGUGCGUAGCUAACGCGUGAAGUUGACCGCCUGGGAGUACGGCCGCAAGGCUAAAACUCAAAGGAAUUGACGGGGACCCGCACAAGCGGUGGAUGAUGUGGAUUAAUUCGAUGCAACGCGAAAAACCUUUACCUACCCUUGACAUGUCAGGGAUCCUGGAGAGAUUCGGGAGUGCUCGCAAGAGAACCUGAACACAGGUGCUGCAUGGCUGUCGUCAGCUCGUGUCGUGAGAUGUUGGGUUAAGUCCCGCAACGAGCGCAACCCUUGUCAUUAAUUGCCAUCAUUGAGUUGGGCACUUUAAUGAGACUGCCGGUGACAAACCGGAGGAAGGUGGGGAUGACGUCAAGUCCUCAUGGCCCUUAUGGGUAGGGCUUCACACGUCAUACAAUGGUCGGUUCAGAGGGUUGCCAACCCGCGAGGGGGAGCCAAUCUCAGAAAGCCGAUCGUAGUCCGGAUCGCAGUCUGCAACUCGACUGCGUGAAGUCGGAAUCGCUAGUAAUCGCGGAUCAGCACGUCGCGGUGAAUACGUUCCCGGGUCUUGUACACACCGCCCGUCACACCAUGGGAGCGGGUUCUGCCAGAAGUAGUUAGCCUAACCGCAAGGAGGGCGAUUACCACGGCAGGGUUCGUGACUGGGGUG
RNAcentral lists this ribosomal RNA (1448 nucleotides) under uncultured Candidatus Accumulibacter sp. RNAcentral's name for it is "bacterial SSU rRNA". It matches the Rfam family "Bacterial small subunit ribosomal RNA". Lineage: Bacteria; Pseudomonadati; Pseudomonadota; Betaproteobacteria. The record is from RNAcentral.